UUGCAGCCAAUUAAGCCGACUGUGCUCUUUUCCCCAUGGGGGCCCUGUGUGCAAUGGCUGCAAACAGCAGCCUCCUCGGUAGUGUAUGCGGCCUGUUGCCUGUGUGGGUUGCCCUAAGGCACCUUGGAGACAGCC
Molecule: small nucleolar RNA, 135 nt
Organism: Delphinapterus leucas (beluga whale)
Lineage: Eukaryota; Metazoa; Chordata; Mammalia; Artiodactyla; Monodontidae
Gene: SNORA70
Rfam family: Small nucleolar RNA SNORA70
About the family: snoRNA U70 seems to be exclusive to mammals and is a member of the H/ACA class of snoRNA which contain H (ANANNA) and ACA box motifs.
Source: Ensembl